Castor canadensis (American beaver) is the source of this 1111-nucleotide non-coding RNA. The record is from RefSeq and is a predicted model, not a curated record. Lineage: Eukaryota; Metazoa; Chordata; Mammalia; Rodentia; Castoridae.
ACCUCGUCCUCCAGUCUCCGAGCCUCUUCCAGCCUCAAGCUAGUCAGCCUGAAAAGCAGAAGCAGUUAAGUUCCUUUCUCUCUCUUGCAGUUUGCCGUGCGUAAUGGGCCUGUGUUUCCACAGUGCUCGCGCGUGACCAGACUGUCAGAUGUGUCACUGCCUGAACUACAUGGCCUCCCGCAGCCGGUUCUCCUUGGUCUUCUCCUUGACCAGCUCCUCGUGUCUGUACGCGGGGAAGAGCCAGGUGGUGAAGAACACAUACAGCUUGCCAGCCCACGCAUCCAGCUUCUCCUUCCGCUCAUUCUUGGACUUCCCUGCAACAGAGCAGAGCUAAGAUGAACAUGAGGACAGCUGUGCGCUUCUGCCCUUCCUGGGUUGGGCCUCUCAGGCUGUGAGGACAGAAAGCUGCAAGUGCACCGUGGACAGGUGCCGGAGAUGGAAGCAGGGGCCUCACACACGGUGGGGAGCAGGUGCUUGGCUGCAGCUGCCUCGUGGCGCUUUCUUCCUCUUCAUUUUCCCGGGCGAACACCAGGACCACUUUGUCAAAUUCAUCAAAGUGUUGGGAUUGGAAGGAAAUCUAAACUGUUUCAGGAAGAGUCGUUAUUGCUGCAGUCCUCAGUCUUGCCAGGCAGGACGGACGGUCGGACACGUGAGCUAGCAUGUUAGCGCCUCUCUCCUGCAUCCCGUCUGGGGUCAAUGUUUCGGUUUUGUGUUACAUAAUGAGAACGUGGAGGACUCUAACCGUCCUGUCAUCCUGCCCUGAACCACGUCGUGGUGAGGGCGUUCCAGGAAGGUCUUUGGUAAGCUUGGUUCUCUGCUGGGAUAUGACUGCCACAGGACAAGCAUCACAGCCUUGCACAUCCUCAGUAGAGGAGAAAAGUUGGAGGAUUUCCAGAAACCACUGGUGUCCUGACCACAUGGGGCAAGGUCACAGGUGAGGAAGGGGAACUGCUGGCCAUGGGGAGGGCAGGACACGGGGCAUGUGGCGGCAAGCGUGUGCCCUCGGAUGGAGGACAGGGUCCUGCUGAUGUGCCCCCAGGAGGGGCUCAGGACAGGAUUUUCAAGGAGGACACAUCUGGUGGGCCACCCACCACAGAGAGGCCGGUCAGCA